GGGCAGAGAGCUCAGUAGUAGAGCGCAUGCUUAGCAUGCAUGAGGUCCUGGGUUCAAUCCCCAGUUCGUCCA
Molecule: transfer RNA, 72 nt
Filed under: Camelus bactrianus (Bactrian camel)
Lineage: Eukaryota; Metazoa; Chordata; Mammalia; Artiodactyla; Camelidae
Also listed under: 2 other names
Rfam family: tRNA
About the family: Transfer RNA (tRNA) molecules are approximately 80 nucleotides in length. Their secondary structure includes four short double-helical elements and three loops (D, anti-codon, and T loops). Further hydrogen bonds mediate the characteristic L-shaped molecular structure. tRNAs have two regions of fundamental functional importance: the anti-codon, which is responsible for specific mRNA codon recognition, and the 3' end, to which the tRNAs corresponding amino acid is attached (by aminoacyl-tRNA synthetases). tRNAs cope with the degeneracy of the genetic code in two manners: having more than one tRNA (with a specific anti-codon) for a particular amino acid; and 'wobble' base-pairing, i.e. permitting non-standard base-pairing at the 3rd anti-codon position.
Source: Rfam by way of RNAcentral